GCUAAAAUCUUAGCAUAACAAAAGCGAAAAUGAAUAAAGCCGUACUUAUAAGCUAAAACUAGCAAUCAUACAACAAAAAACUAUAAUUGGCAAAAACAGUAGCUUAAAACUAAAACUAGCAAAACAAUAGCUAAAAUCUUAGCAUAAUAAAAGCUAAAAGCUAAACCUGGCAAUCCAGUAACAAAACCCUAUAAUUAACAAAAACACUUGCUUCAAACUAAAACCAGCAAGACAGCAGCCAAAAGUUAAAACUUGUAAAAUAGUAGCUAAAAGCUAAAACUAGCAAUCAUAUAACAAAAAGCUAUGAUUAGCAAACACAGUGACCUAACUAAAACUGGCAAAACAAUAGCUAAAAUCUUAGCAUAACGAAAGCUAAACCUGGCAAUCCAGUAACAAAAAGCUAUAAUUAGCAUAAACACUAGCUUCAAGCUAAAACAGUAAGAUAGUAGUCAAAAGUUAAAACUUGUAACACAGUAGCUAAAAGUUAAAGCUAAUAAAACUGUAGCUAAAAGCUAAAACUAGCAAUCAUAUAACAAAAAGUUAUAAUUAGCAAGAACAGCUUAAAACUGAAAGUAGCAAAACAGUAGCUAAAAUCUUAGCAUAACAAAAGUUAAAAGCUAAACCUGGCAAUCCAGUAACAAAACCCUAUAAUUAGCAGAAACACUAGCUUCAAACUAAAACUAGCAAGAUAGUAGUCAAAAGUUAAAGCUUGUAAAACUGUAGCUAAAAGCUAAAGCUAAUAAAACUGUAGCUAAAAGCUAAAACUAGCAAUCAUAUAACAAAAAGUUAUAAUUAGCAAAAACAGUGGCUUAAAACUAAAAGUAGCAAAACAGUAGCUAAAAUCUUAGCAUAAUUAAAGCUAAAAGCUAAACCUGGUAAUCCAGUAACAAAAAGCUAUAAUUAGCAAAAAAAACACUAGCUUCAAACUGAAACAGUAAGAUAGUAGUCAAAAUUUAAAACUUGUAAAACAGUAGCUAAAAGCUAAAACUAAAAGCUAAAACUUGCUAUCAUAUAACAAAAAGCUAUAACUAUCAUAAGCACUAGCUUCGAGCUAAAACUAGCCGAAUGUGUUCAGUAAGAUGUGAUUUGAAGAAGAGGAGAGCUGAAGAUGACUUUAUGACGUGGAGAAAAUGAGCUGCUCUUCACAGAUCAUCACUGAUCACUUGAUGCAGCCAGAAGAGUCUCUGAGCUGGUUYAUGAACUGGUUUGUGAAACAACAAACUCAGACCAGUUCAUCAGCAGAAUCUGUUUUCAGGCAAACCCAAAAGACGACACAUGUUUUCAGCUCAAACCAAAUCAACAAUCACAGAAACGUGUAAGGACCUGCUGUGUCUGAGCUUUAGUUUGUGUUUUAUUCUGGUGCUCCAGUCUGAGGCUUGUUGGUGGCGUGCAGCAGCUCCCAUUACUCCCACAGACACACCUGCUCUGAAGCAGGCUGCACCCUGAGUUCUGGCUCAGUWAUGAUGCAGAGAUGUCAGCAGGAAACAACAGAAGCUGUCAAAGCAAACACACUGUGAGAGCUGUUCAGGCUGCCAUUGUACCUGCUGCCUGCCUGAGGCCAGAGGCUCAGGAGGACAGGGAAACACCUGGAACUGAAAACAUCCAGCUGCUCAGGCUCUGUGUGUCACUCUGCUCCAGCUGCAGACUCCAAUGGCUUUUUAAAAACCAAACUCACUGUGUGAAGGUUUUCGGAUUUUGCAGAACCACAUUUAAAUAAAGUUUAUUCAAACUAAAAUUCAGGUUUCUGCAAAAACAUCAGAGUUGACACCGAGAUAUUUUAGUCCUUUCUGGAAAAGAUGGAGCCUUUCUGCAGGGGGCGGAGCCAGAGGGGCGAAGACACCCUGCAGCUACAAUUAUUGGACAGCAGGAACAGCCGGUCGAGCAACAGCAAACUCAUCUGCAGCCAUGAAUCUCUGAUAAUAUUUGAGGCACAAAAAGGAGCUGAUUGUUUGUUCGUGSUAAAACCCUGAAUGCUUCAUUUAUCUGAGCGAGCCUGAGCGUCGGCGGCCUCGCUGGGCCUACGAGGAAGCAGAGAAAUCAUCACUCCUUUGUUUGGUUAGUGGGUCACUCCACUGAGCCGUGCUCUCCURGUGGGGUGCCAGCAUCCAUUAAAGCCCGACUCUGUCGGUUUGUUCAGCACGCUCACUUUCCUCUUUCUUCUUCUUCUUCUUUAUAUAUAAAUAUAUAUCUCCUCCCUGACUGUCUUUGCUGUUAAMGCACUCUGUGACACUCGGGUCAGAAGUUGUGGUCUCACUCAGCGCGCUGAGAAAUGAAAGAAGUGUCCAUAAGCAGAAAAUUGCCCUUGCCGAUCCCUUAAAGUGAGRCUGGAUUAGAUAUCCUGGRCGAURGCUGCCAGCGAAGCUCCACUUAGCAGAUAUGAGAGCAGAGGAAGCAGCCGUGUCCCUGUGGGCUCUCCCAGGCCUGACAACAAAUCAAAAAGCAUCAGGACUCCAGGGCACGCGAGGGAGCAAAUCCAGCAUGAGUGACAGUUCCGAUGGCACCCUGAGAUGACUUUAGCUGUGAAUACAUGAAUAAAUUGUCUGUUUUUGUUUGUUUCUUCGA
Molecule: long non-coding RNA, 2562 nt
Organism: Austrofundulus limnaeus
Lineage: Eukaryota; Metazoa; Chordata; Actinopteri; Cyprinodontiformes; Rivulidae
Exons: 2
Source: RefSeq, a predicted model, not a curated record